Molecule: ribosomal RNA, 467 nt
Filed under: uncultured bacterium
Lineage: Bacteria
Description: partial 16S ribosomal RNA
Rfam family: Bacterial small subunit ribosomal RNA
Source: RNAcentral
GACGAACGCUGGCGGCGUGCUUAACACAUGCAAGUCGAACGGAAAGGCCUCUUUCGGGGGGUACUCGAGUGGCGAACGGGUGAGUAACACGUGAGUAACCUGCCCUUGACUUUGGGAUAACUUCAGGAAACUGGGGCUAAUACCGGAUAGGAGCUCCUGCUGCAGGGUGGGGGUUGGAAAGUUUCGGCGGUUGGGGAUGGACUCGCGGCUUAUCAGCUUGUUGGUGGGGUAGUGGCUUACCAAGGCUUUGACGGGUAGCCGGCCUGAGAGGGUGACCGGCCACAUUGGGACUGAGAUACGGCCCAGACUCCUACGGGAGGCAGCAGUGGGGAAUAUUGCACAAUGGGUGGAAGCCUGAUGCAGCAACGCCGUGUGCGGGAUGACGGCCUUCGGGUUGUAAACCGCUUUCGCUCAUGACGAAGCUUUGUGUGACGGUAGUGGGUAAAGAAGCACCGGCUAACUACGUG